This 314-nucleotide ribosomal RNA is filed under the name Bradyrhizobium elkanii. Its description in RNAcentral is "bacterial SSU rRNA". It matches the Rfam family "Bacterial small subunit ribosomal RNA", at positions 932 to 1237 of the family's 1533-position model. The record is from RNAcentral. Lineage: Bacteria; Pseudomonadati; Pseudomonadota; Alphaproteobacteria; Hyphomicrobiales; Nitrobacteraceae.
UCNAAGGGGGAAAUGUGGUUUAUUCGACGCAACGCGCAGAACCUUACCAGCCCUUGACAUCCCGGUCGCGGACUCCAGAGACGGAGUUCUUCAGUUCGGCUGGACCGGAGACAGGUGCUGCAUGGCUGUCGUCAGCUCGUGUCGUGAGAUGUUGGGUUAAGUCCCGCAACGAGCGCAACCCCCGUCCUUAGUUGCUACCAUUUAGUUGAGCACUCUAAGGAGACUGCCGGUGAUAAGCCCCGUGCAACGUGGGGACGACCCCUAGUCCUCCUGACCAUUAACGGGCUGGGCUACACACGUGCUACAAUGGCGGU